This 100-nucleotide non-coding RNA is filed under the name Brachyspira pilosicoli. Lineage: Bacteria; Pseudomonadati; Spirochaetota; Spirochaetia; Brachyspirales; Brachyspiraceae. The record is from RNAcentral.
CAACAUGGGGAGCUUAUAAAAGGCUGAGAGGAAGUUUAUAUAAUUAAAUUUCGACCCUUAUAACCUGUUUGGGUAAUGCCAGCGUAGGGAAUUAUCUCUU